GACGAACGCUGGCGGCGUGCUUAACACAUGCAAGUCGAACGGAAAGGCCCUGCUUUUGUGGGGUGCUCGAGUGGCGAACGGGUGAGUAACACGUGAGUAACCUGCCCUUGACUUUGGGAUAACUUCAGGAAACUGGGGCUAAUACCGGAUAGGAGCUCCUGCUGCAUGGUGGGGGUUGGAAAGUUUCGGCGGUUGGGGAUGGACUCGCGGCUUAUCAGCUUGUUGGUGGGGUAGUGGCUUACCAAGGCUUUGACGGGUAGCCGGCCUGAGAGGGUGACCGGCCACAUUGGGACUGAGAUACGGCCCAGACUCCUACGGGAGGCAGCAGGGGGGAAUAUGGCACAAUGGGCGGAAGCCGGAGGCAGCAACGCCGCGUGCGGGAUGACGGCCUUCGGGUUGUAAACCGCUUUCGCCUGUGACGAAGCGGGAGUGACGGUAAUGGGUAAAGAAGCACCGGCUAACUACGUG
Molecule: ribosomal RNA, 468 nt
Filed under: uncultured bacterium
Lineage: Bacteria
Description: partial 16S ribosomal RNA
Rfam family: Bacterial small subunit ribosomal RNA
Source: RNAcentral